RNAcentral lists this transfer RNA (118 nucleotides) under Planctomycetales bacterium. RNAcentral describes it as "tRNA-OTHER". It matches the Rfam family "tRNA". Rfam says of the family: Transfer RNA (tRNA) molecules are approximately 80 nucleotides in length. Their secondary structure includes four short double-helical elements and three loops (D, anti-codon, and T loops). Lineage: Bacteria; Pseudomonadati; Planctomycetota; Planctomycetia; Planctomycetales. The record is from RNAcentral.
AGCGUGGAUCGUCCAAAGGUAGGACGCUGGAAGUUGCAACCACAGACACCGAGAUGCCGGUCAUCGCAGGACUGUGACAGAAACCAGACAUUCGGGGUUCGAUUCCCUGGCCACGCUC